CGGCGGACGGGUGAGUAACACGUAGGCAACCUACCCAUCAGACCGGGAUAACCGCGGGAAACCGUGGCUAAUACCGGAUGACCCUUCCGGACAUAAGUCCUGAAGUUGAAAGGCGCUUUUGGUGCCGUUGAUGGAUGGGCCUGCGGCGCAUUAGCUGGUUGGUGAGGUAACGGCUCACCAAGGCGACGAUGCGUAGCCGACCUGAGAGGGUGAUCGGCCACACUGGGACUGAGACACGGCCCAGACUCCUACGGGAGGCAGCAGUAGGGAAUCUUCCGCAAUGGACGCAAGUCUGACGGAGCAACGCCGCGUGAGUGAAGAAGGGUUUCGGCUCGUAAAACUCUGUUGUUAAGGAAGAAUGUCAGUGAGAGUAACUGCUCAUUGAGUGACGGUACUUAACCAGAAAGCCACGGCUAACUACGUGCCAGCAGCCGCGGUAAUACGUAGGUGGCAAGCGUUAUCCGGAAUUAUUGGGCGUA
Molecule: ribosomal RNA, 479 nt
Filed under: uncultured bacterium
Lineage: Bacteria
Description: bacterial SSU rRNA
Rfam family: Bacterial small subunit ribosomal RNA
Source: RNAcentral